Molecule: ribosomal RNA, 467 nt
Filed under: uncultured bacterium
Lineage: Bacteria
Description: partial 16S ribosomal RNA
Rfam family: Bacterial small subunit ribosomal RNA
Source: RNAcentral
GACGAACGCUGGCGGCGUGCUUAACACAUGCAAGUCGAACGGAAAGGCCCUGCUUUUGUGGGGUGCUCGAGUGGCGAACGGGUGAGUAACACGUGAGUAACCUGCCCUUGACUUUGGGAUAACUUCAGGAAACUGGGGCUAAUACCGGAUAGGAGCUCCUGCUGCAUGGUGGGGGUUGGAAAGUUUCGGCGGUUGGGGAUGGACUCGCGGCUUAUCAGCUUGUUGGUGGGGUAGUGGCUUACCAAGGCUUUGACGGGUAGCCGGCCUGAGAGGGUGACCGGCCAAAUGGGGACGGGGAUACGGCCCAGACCCCUACGGGGGGCAGCGGGGGGGAAUUUUGCACAAGGGGCGGAAGCCGUAGGCAGAAACGCCGGGUGGGGGAGGACGGCCUUGGGGUGGUAAACCGUUUUCGCCUGUGACGAAGCGGGGGUGACGGUAAUGGGGAAAAAAGCACCGGCUAACUACGU